RNA transcript from Sander lucioperca (pikeperch), 1258 nucleotides. It is a transcript of the gene named ras-related protein Rab-25-like, with no coding region annotated. The record is from RefSeq and is a predicted model, not a curated record. The transcript has 6 exons. NCBI's taxonomy places the organism in Eukaryota, Metazoa, Chordata, Actinopteri, Perciformes, Percidae.
AGGGAUCGGCAGGCCACAGGACUCUUGCCUGCCUGUCCUUCUGUCCUCAAACAGCAGCUACUCUAUCCACGGAUAAAGAAGAAAGCGGUUGGAAGCAGCUGAACCUGUUCUCUUUUUCUCCUCUGUUUUUGCCUUUACACUGUGUCUCUCUCUCCACACUGGGGAGAGAGAAACAAGAGUAAGGCUGUAUUUGUUUUUCUUUCUGUCUUUGUAACUCUUUUCUACUUUGGGAACAAAUAUCUUACCGGAAAGGCUUUGCCACUAAAUGCGGCAUGGGGUCUGAUGAAUCAUAUAAUUUCGUCUUCAAAGUGGUUUUGAUAGGGGAGUCUGGCGUAGGAAAGAGCAACCUUCUGUCUCGCUUUACCAAGAAUGAGUUCAAUCAUGACAGUCGCACCACCAUUGGCGUCGAGUUCAGCACGCGGACUGUUCAGCUGGACAACUACGCCAUCAAAGCUCAAAUCUGGGACACAGCAGGGCUGGAGCGCUACAGGGCUAUCACCUCAGCGUAUUACAGGGGAGCAGUUGGAGCACUGUUGGUCUACGACAUUAGCAAACACCUGACCUAUGAGAGCGUAGAUCGAUGGUUGAAAGAGUUGUUCGACCAUGCUGACCCUCACAUCGUGGUCAUGUUGGUGGGAAACAAAAGAGACCUGGAUACCCUUAGGACCGUGCCUACAGAGGAGGCCAAGGACUUUGCAGAGAAGAGAGGUCUCAUGUUCAUGGAGACAUCAGCGUUGGACUCCACCAAUGUCGAAAAUGCUUUCAAUGAAGUCCUCAAAGCAAUCCAUAAGAAGGUGGCCAGCAGAGAGGUGACCCGUGGCUCCAUCUGUGCUGUAACCCUGUCCAACCCCACCAGCGAUGCACAGGAGGGGCGCAGAAACUGCUGCAAGAGCUCCUAACUGACUGCUGCCCUGUAAAGAUCUGCUCUACCCAUGUUGAACGCUUGACUCGUUGAAGCUUACGCAUGAUUGACAUGCAAUUUGAAGAGCGAGGUACCUGCUUGACACUUGAGCAGUCAGUGUACAAAACUAUAUAUAUAUAAUAUGUACAGUAAAUAACUAAAAAACAGUAGAUUAAGAUAUGCAAAUAUUGAGAGUCUAUAUUUUAUACACUAUACUUCUUCCUGUGGUGGCUAAUGAGCGCAUUUUACUACAGAUAGCUCUGCAAUUUGUAUUUGCAAAUGUCUUUAAAGAGGCGCUGCAAAGUUGUAUUGCUUGUAUAAAGAAAUGCACUGGGAUUCACUUGGAAUAAAGUAUUU